RNAcentral lists this ribosomal RNA (253 nucleotides) under uncultured bacterium. RNAcentral describes it as "partial 16S ribosomal RNA". It matches the Rfam family "Bacterial small subunit ribosomal RNA", at positions 524 to 776 of the family's 1533-position model. The record is from RNAcentral.
UACGUAGGGAGCAAGCGUUAUCCGGAAUUAUUGGGUGUAAAGGGUGCGUAGACGGGAUAACAAGUUGGUUGUGAAACCCCUCGGCUCAACUGAGGAACUGCAACCAAAACUAUUAUUCUUGAGUGCAGGAGAGGAAAGUGGAAUUCCUAGUGUAGCGGUGAAAUGCGUAGAUAUUAGGAAGAACACCGGUGGCGAAGGCGAUUCUCUGGACUGUAACUGACGCUGAGGCUCGAAAGCGUGGGGAGCAAACAGG